Molecule: unclassified non-coding RNA, 861 nt
Filed under: Hevea brasiliensis (rubber tree)
Lineage: Eukaryota; Viridiplantae; Streptophyta; Magnoliopsida; Malpighiales; Euphorbiaceae
Source: RNAcentral
ACUCAGAUCCACUUGUCUGUGCUGUUUCAUAUCCAGGAAUCUGAUGCCCUGGAACAUGCACAGCAGCAGCUGAUGGAGGUACCAUGUUUCUUUCUGUCAUUUCAGGGCUCACAGUGGACAGUGGAGUCCGGUCUUUGCUUUCAUCUUCUGCCUGAUUGGAGGAAUGUUCAGACACAUUCUUACCUUUCCCAAAAACAGCAGAUGGCACUACUGAAGAAGCUGUUUUCCUGUUUCUCUUUUCCCUCAUUGACUUUGAUGCCGCCUUCACAGGUGAUCCUUCCCAUGAACUCUCAGAAGAAGUUUUACUUCUCACAGUAGGAAAGGACCUUGAAGCUGCACUUCUGUCAUCAAAGUAAAUUUCAGCGCCCCUAUUUUCUUGAUAUGGUAAAGUAUCAAUAUGAUCUUCCUUCAUUGACCCUCGGGAUUCUUUGGAAAACUUCUGUUGAACUCUCGAAAAGCUAACAGAGCUACUUAACUGGGAUGAAGGAACAAAGUUAUAACUAGCUGAAGUGGACUGCUGCUUAUCAUCUGAUUGAUGGAUAUCAAGACCUCCAUUGUCAAGAUCAAACCCACUGGCAGAGCCCCUUUCUGGCUCACGCCAGAAAUUAUGAUCAUCCUCACUCAGGUUCAUUUCCACAGAACCAAAAUUCUCAUUGCCAGGUUCAAUUGAAUCUUCUGUAUUUGAGGUCAAUCCUAAGCCAGGAAAAUAAUGAUUUAAUGAUGAAGAAACCAAGCCUUGAGGAAAUUGCAUAUUUGUUCCCCAAGGAUUAUCCAUCAUAGGAAUAUUAGCAGGUACCAUUCCACCCAAGUUUCUAGAGGGAUAUCCCAUUGAAGCUAGAACAGAAGGUGAGAUUGAAAGAG